UAGGGAAUCUUCGGCAAUGGACGAAAGUCUGACCGAGCAACGCCGCGUGAGUGAAGAAGGUUUUCGGAUCGUAAAACUCUGUUGUUAGAGAAGAACAAGGACGUUAGUAACUGAACGUCCCCUGACGGUAUCUAACCAGAAAGCCACGGCUAACUACGUGCCAGCAGCCGCGGUAAUACGUAGGUGGCAAGCGUUGUCCGGAUUUAUUGGGCGUAAAGCGAGCGCAGGCGGUUUCUUAAGUCUGAUGUGAAAGCCCCCGGCACAACCGGGGAGGGUCAUUGGAAACUGGGAGACUUGAGUGCAGAAGAGGAGAGUGGAAUUCCAUGUGUAGCGGUGAAAUGCGUAGAUAUAUGGAGGAACACCAGUGGCGAAUGGGGCUCUCUGGUCUGUAACUAACGCUGAGGCUCGAAAGCGUAGGGAGCAAACAGG
Molecule: ribosomal RNA, 429 nt
Filed under: Chloroflexota bacterium
Lineage: Bacteria; Bacillati; Chloroflexota
Description: Chloroflexi bacterium partial 16S ribosomal RNA
Rfam family: Bacterial small subunit ribosomal RNA
Source: RNAcentral